AGAGUUUGAUCAUGGCUCAGGACGAACGCUGGCGGCGUGCUUAACACAUGCAAGUCGAGCGGAAAGGCCCUUCGGGGUACUCGAGCGGCGAACGGGUGAGUAACACGUGAGUAACCUGCCCCAGGCUUUGGGAUAACCCUCGGAAACGGGGGCUAAUACCGGAUAUGACCUCCUGUCGCAUGGUGGGGGGUGGAAAGUUUUUUCGGCUUGGGAUGGGCUCGCGGCCUAUCAGCUUGUUGGUGGGGUGAUGGCCUACCAAGGCGACGACGGGUAGCCGGCCUGAGAGGGCGACCGGCCACACUGGGACUGAGACACGGCCCAGACUCCUACGGGAGGCAGCAGUGGGGAAUAUUGCACAAUGGGCGGAAGCCUGAUGCAGCGACGCCGCGUGAGGGAUGACGGCCUUCGGGUUGUAAACCUCUUUCAGCAGGGACGAAGCGUGAGUGACGGUACCUGCAGAAGAAGCGCCGGCCAACUACGUGCCAGCAGCCGCGGUAAGACGUAGGGCGCGAGCGUUGUCCGGAUUUAUUGGGCGUAAAGAGCUCGUAGGCGGCUUGUCGCGUCGACUGUGAAAACCCGCGGCUCAACUGUGGGCUUGCAGUCGAUACGGGCAGGCUAGAGUUCGGUAGGGGAGACUGGAAUUCCUGGUGUAGCGGUGGAAUGCGCAGAUAUCAGGAGGAACACCGGUGGCGAAGGCGGGUCUCUGGGCCGAUACUGACGCUGAGGAGCGAAAGCGUGGGGAGCGAACAGGAUUAGAUACCCUGGUAGUCCACGCCGUAAACGGUGGGCACUAGGUGUGGGCGACAUUCCACGUCGUCCGUGCCGCAGCUAACGCAUUAAGUGCCCCGCCUGGGGAGUACGGCCGCAAGGCUAAAACUCAAAGGAAUUGACGG
RNAcentral lists this ribosomal RNA (893 nucleotides) under uncultured bacterium. RNAcentral's name for it is "bacterial SSU rRNA". It matches the Rfam family "Bacterial small subunit ribosomal RNA", at positions 8 to 916 of the family's 1533-position model. The record is from RNAcentral.